GAUAGUUUGGCCGAGUGGUCUA
RNAcentral lists this non-coding RNA (22 nucleotides) under Arabidopsis thaliana (thale cress). Lineage: Eukaryota; Viridiplantae; Streptophyta; Magnoliopsida; Brassicales; Brassicaceae. The record is from RNAcentral.